GAGAGAGACAUGGGGAGACUGUAGGUCCCGCCCCCUUGAUAACGGCACCCUGCCAGUGUGAGGGAGACAGCGCGGCAGUUGUCUUCUCGGCAGUGUUCGGUGUCCUCACGCUUCCCCUUCACGGCGUUCCCACUCGGAUUCCCUCUCCUCCUCGCGCUUGGGGAUCGUAAGCUCUCCUUCGAGCGUGCCAUGAGGAAGGGCGGUGGUGGGGAGCAGACGAGGAGGCUCACUGCACACAGUCCUGAGAGGAGGAGCCCGUGGUGCAGCGGCGGCGGUGUGUGGUGGCGCUAGAGCGCUAGUGAGCUGUACCUCUGGCGGAGGAGGACGGACGCGUGGCUCGCACAACGCUACAGAUGUAGUUCGUGGGAGAGCCUUCAUAUCGGUACUCGCUGCUGCCUUAUGCGCCCUUCACCCAAGGGUUCAGCACUGACCUUUCGAGCCUUCACGACCGCACAAAUCCCGUAGUUCAUAGUUUACUAUUACUCCUCUGGUGGACAGCGACAGGGGGCCUGGAGAUGCUGUAGCCUCCCAAAGGAUAGAGAUCACUGUUGACAUUCCGUAGCCUCCGUAUCGUGGAUGGUAGUUAUAUCCUUCAGUCUACUGGGCAGAAAAGGGCUCUUGUGGCGACAUCCUACGCUGUUGCCCUUCCUAUCACCCUCACACCAAGUUGGGUGGAAACUGCUUCUAAAGGAUCUUUUAUCGAACCGAGGGCUUCCGCCUCCUACGCCUUCUUCCCCUCUUCCCUCUCCUUCGUCCUCUCCAUCCAUUGUCUUGUCGGUGAAGUAGCCCGAAGUCUGCUAUCGUCUUUGGGGAUAAGCGGAUCAUCUCGGGACAGGACAGAGGACGGACGCGGCCGAGUUCAGGACGCGGCCCGUGACAGACAAGCGGACUCCUUCAGCAAGAAGAAGAUGAAAGGAGAGCGAGGGUGCAAGAGACCAACAACCGAAUCCAGAAAAGCCAGGAUUUCAACAUGUGUUAGUUAAUCCGCAGGGAUUUACGAGUUGUAGGAUCCUAGAAAACAGAUAAUCAAUACUUGUGCCUAGAGGAGGAGGAGGCCCGCUCCCCUCCCCUACGGUGAACACUGGUUGCAUUAAGUGGAUUUUUCCCCCGAACUAACUUUGCCAAGUGAUUUUCAUUUUAAAGAUUAGUAGCCGAGGUGUGGCGAAGGAAUCCGAACUCUGAUGUCGACGCUUUAGAAGAGCGUAAGAACUACAGCCGCUUUCGCCCUGGCCGUCUUCACUCAAGGAAUUAUUUGUACAAUCUCCAACACUGACCAGGCAAUAUUCUGACUGGAAUGUAGUUGUGACUUAGUGCCUUAAAGACUGUGUGUGUGUUUGUGUCAUUCCUCUUCUGCUACGCCCGUAUUCGCGUCAGUAAAGAAAGACUAAGAAGAGAUCACAGAAGAAGUCCGUUUUCACAGAGGAUUAGGAGUGCGUGAUAGUGUGCGAAGAAUCGAGUUUCGAGUGCAAGUCAGCAGCAGCAGCAGAGAGAGAGAGGGGCCCCUCACACCGAAGGACCCCUGACACCCACCAGGGACACCGAUACCCGCCAUGGGUGCAUCGACAGCCACCGCGAGGGGAAGCGAUACGCGCCAGGGGAGCUUCUGUGCUUAGCGGGUGAAAAGGAACCCGAAGAGGAGUACGGCGGACAAGGGCGCCCGGGUAAGGGGACCGACCGACCGUUCGAACCCUCGCUUUCCUCACUCGAGCGAGGAUCAGUGUGAUAGACGAAGGGGAAAAGUCUGUGCGAGGUUUGGAGUAUCGUAAACAGUGUUCUGAGAGAGAGUGUGUGUGAGUGAAAGAAGAAAACGAAAAGAAUAACAAACAUUUCGCCGCGGAACGCAAAGCCUGUGCGGUAUGUGGUGGGAUAGAGUGACGAGGGAUUUUGAAGUGUGAUAUAUAUAUGUGUGUGUGUUUUUUUCCCUUCAUGUACGUUCAGUGUUGAUGGUAUAUAAUACCCAAGUUGUGUGUGCGUAGUGUGCCGAGGAUAAAGUUCAUACUUUUGUGAUCUUGGGAUCAGACACGAAGGAAUUUGGUCGUUUGUGUAUUUACCUUGUUGGAAAUAACGAGGAAUAGUGGAUUUUCGAUCGACUCGCCGUCAUGGGAGGCAACAGGAGAAAGCACAGGAGUGAUAGCCUCCUGUUGUGAGCCGCAGCCAGCGAAAGACAGCCAAGUGUACCAACUCAUACUAAACCUCCCGCCCCCAUCACCUCUGUCUUCUGCGGCACCAACGUGUCUUUGGAGGUGAGGGACGGAUGAUGGUGCUAGCUGGUGAGGAGUACAACGUCGUUACCUGCCAUCUUCACACGCUGGUGCAUGAGUGAUUUAGAGGAUGGGCCAGAAUAUGUGUUGCCCCAAGAAGGGGCCGCCACCCCCAAAUCACCCUGGACCGUUUGACCCCAUAGAUCCAGUCGAAAUAAUUGAGGUGACGGAUAUAUUACCUACCAAUGGCGUUCGACCUGAACAUACUUAUUCCAGAACCCAGAACCCAGCAACAAGCUAUCAUGAUGAAGGUAAAGCGGAUGGCAACGCCUCCAUGACACCACCACACGGUGGUGGAGGAAACCCUCGCUAUUAUCCAGACCCGUCCAGAGGCGGCAGACCUGCUUAUAACUCUCAACAACAUGGAGUCGAUGUUAUCCGGUCAAAUUCAGGACAAGGAUUGCCCGCCCAUGGUUGGGUUCAACAGCACCAUGCGAGCCACAUGCGGAUGCGAAAGGAGUCAGUUAGGUGUUCGCAACGAUGGACACCCAGAUCCAACACUCCAGAACCAGUCACGCCAUCGACGCCGUCUCGAGGCCGGGUCGUGGUGGCCAUGUACUCAUUCCAGGGUCGCAGCAAUGGCGAACUCACCUUUGAGAAGGGAGACAGGAUGGAGAUUCUCAAUGAUGCUGAUGCUGACUGGUGGUUGGCACGACAUAUGACACAUGGCAUUGACGGCUAUAUUCCAAAGAACUAUGUAGCAUCCACAUCUUCACUUGAGUGCCAAGACUGGUACUUUGGCAAAAUAGCCAGGAAAGAAGCAGAAAAAUUACUAAUGACACGGGGGAACUUAAGAGGAACUUUUCUCAUCCGUAUGUCGGAACAAUCUAGUCAUGGAUAUUCCCUAAGUAUAAGGGAUUGGGACACUCAAAAGGGAGAACAUGUCAAGCACUACAGAAUCAAGGUCACUGACAAUGGAGGGUUCUUCAUCACCUCGUCACAGGCUUUCCGGACACUCAAUGACCUAGUGGAUGCCUACAAAAGAAACAACUAUGGGUUAGCAUGCCUCUUGCAAUACCCAUGUCCACGUCCACAACCCCAGAAAUGGGAUCUGUCACGAGAGACCAAAGAUCAGUGGGAGAUUGACCGUAAUACUCUUUCCAUGAACAAGAAGCUGGGACAGGGAUCCUUUGGUGAAGUGUGGUAUGGUAUGUGGAACAGUUCUACAGAAGUUGCCAUCAAGACCCUAAAACAAGGAGCAAUGAGUCCUUCUGCCUUCUUAGAAGAAGCCAGAAUUAUGAAAAAAUUACGGCAUCGUAACAUUCUUGUCCUAUACGCUGUUUGUACGAAAGAAGAACCUAUACUAAUAGUCACUGAGUAUAUGUGUAAUGGUGCACUGCUAGAUUUGCUCAGGAAUGAGGGAGAGCGCACCCUCAAACUCAAUGACUUAAUAUAUGUGGCAACGCAGGUUGCUGCAGGUAUGGCUUACCUAGAGGGCAAACAGUUGUUACAUCGGGAUCUUGCUGCCCGUAAUGUAUUAGUAGGUGAUUCUUUGACAUGUAAAGUGGCAGACUUUGGCUUAGCCCGGAUUGUGGAAGGAGAAGACUACUGCCCAAGCACAUGUAAUAAAUUCCCUGUCAAAUGGACAGCACCUGAAGCCAUGCUGUACAACCGCUUUACUAUCAAGUCCGAUGUCUGGUCAUUUGGUAUUCUUCUAAUGGAAGUGAUUACCUAUGGUGCUAACCCAUACCCAGGAAUGAAUAACCGAGAGGUCAUAGAGAAAGUCCAGAUGGGCUACCGAAUGGCCAAGCCUCCACGAGCUCCCGAUGAGUUAUACGAAGUGAUGCUGCAUUGCUGGGAUAAGUAUCCUGAUCAACGACCUACCUUUGACUACUUGCAUCAUUUCUUCGAUGACUACCAGGUCUCCUCCGAAAUACCCUAUCGCGACAUCCACGACUAAUAACAACAUGACCCUGCCUGACCUCCACCCUCUAAUUCAGACCCUCCCAGGCCAGGACAACCUGGGUAAAAAACAGUCAGGAUGAGCAAUCGAGAAGUAACAGAAGUAGUCCCCAGCGGGUACCGCAUGAGUAAGCCACUCUCAAAAUAUUGCCCUGACCAGCUCUAUGAGCUCAUGUGUCAGUGCUGGAAACUGGACCC
Molecule: unclassified non-coding RNA, 4361 nt
Filed under: Penaeus japonicus
Lineage: Eukaryota; Metazoa; Arthropoda; Malacostraca; Decapoda; Penaeidae
Description: tyrosine-protein kinase SRK2-like, transcript variant X12
Source: RNAcentral